UACUGUAUAUGGACAUACAAACAUUUUCAUGUUUUCAUUUAGGUUGUUUUGUCAUUCCAUGUCGUAACAUAAUUUGUUAUUUGCUUUUAUAGUCCUAGAUGAUACUUUUUUUCAACAUGUGUACAGAUAAUGUUGUUUGACGAAUUCAGGUGUACCAUGGGGAGCGGAGGUUGUUAUGAAUUCAGGUGUACCAUGGGGAGCGGAGGUUGUUAUGAAUUCAGGUGUACCAUGGGGAGCGGAGGUUGUUAUGAAUUCAGGUGUACCAUGGGGAGCGGAGGUUGUUAUGAAUUCAGGUGUACCAUGGGGAGCGGAGGUUGUUAUGAAUUCAGGUGUACCAUGGGGAGCGGAGGUUUGUUGUGAUUUCAGGUGUACCAUAGGGAGAGGAGGUUUGUUGUGAAUUCAGGUGUACCAUAGGGAGCGGAGGUUUGUUGUGAUUUCAGGUGUACCAUAGGGACCGGAGGUUUGUUGUGAUUUCAGGUGUACCAUAGGGAGCGGAGGUUUGUUGUGAUUUCAGGUGUACCAUAGGGAGCGGAGGUUUGUUGUGAUUUCAGGUGUACCAUAGGGAGCGGAGGUUUGUUGUGAAUUCAGGUGUACCAUGGGGAGCGGAGGUUGUUAUGAAUUCAGGUGUACCAUGGUGAGAGGAGAUUUGUUAUGAAUUCAGGUGUACCAUAGGGAGAGGAGGUUUGUUAUGAAUUCAGGUGUACCAUGGGGAGCGUAGGUUUGUUGUGAAUUCAGGUGUACCAUGGUGAGAGGAGGUUUGUUGUGAAUUCAGGUGUACCAUGGGGAGCGGAGGUUUGUUAUGAAUUCAGGUGUACCAUGGGGAGCGGAGGUUUGUUAUGAAUUCAGGUGUACCAUGGGGAGCGGAGGUUUGUUAUGAAUUCAGGUGUACCAUGGGGAGCGGAGGUUUGUUGUGAAUUCAGGUGUACCAUGGUGAGAGGAGGUUCGUUGUGAAUUCAGGUGUACCAUGGGGAGCGGAGGUUUGUUAUGAAUUCAGGUGUACCAUAGGGAGCGGAGGUUUGUUAUGAAUUCAGGUGUACCAUAGGGAGCGGAGGUUUGUUGUGAAUUCAGGUGUACCAUGGGGAGCGGAGGUUUGUUAUGAAUUACAAAGCUCUCACACAUCACUGUACCCUCUAUAUGAGAGUGGGCUGUCCUUCCUUAGCUCUUCGGAGACAUAGUCAUUGGUUACGUCUUCAUUGAUCAGGUCAUACUGAGACAGCUCCCUUUUUACCUGUGUACCUACAUUGUCCAGCAGACAAAUGACAACAAUUGGCUACGCUCACAGGACUGUAUCUUGUUGACUGUGCCCGUACAGAGUUUGGUAAAAAAAAGCAUUCCAGUUUUC
RNAcentral lists this long non-coding RNA (1342 nucleotides) under Salmo salar (Atlantic salmon). RNAcentral's name for it is "lncRNA (ENSSSAG00000121869.1, ENSSSAG00020048019.1, ENSSSAG00075063200.1)". The record is from RNAcentral. Lineage: Eukaryota; Metazoa; Chordata; Actinopteri; Salmoniformes; Salmonidae.